CGUCUCUGCAUCACCAACGUCUCGGGGUCUUUAAUGAAGUCAGGCUUCCUUCACAGUCACAGGUUCACACAGUAGCCUCUGGGCCGCCGGCGUACAGGAUCGCCCCUUAUAUAUACGUGCUUCUUGUAUCUGUGGGUUUGUACUGGUUUCAGACAACUGGGUUUGUCCUGUUUCCCUCCCUAGUUCCUAGGCUUGGGAUUCCUGUUGUGGAUAUUAGCCUUAGAUCUGCCCCGAAGCAGCUCGCUCACCCACCCACUCCAUGCUGUUUCCUCAGACUCUCUUCAGGGCUUCAUUUGGGGUGGUGACCGUAGCUCAGGCUUCAUGGCCACUCCUCCCCCCUUC
RNAcentral lists this long non-coding RNA (342 nucleotides) under Rattus norvegicus (Norway rat). RNAcentral describes it as "long non-coding RNA NONRATT029336". Lineage: Eukaryota; Metazoa; Chordata; Mammalia; Rodentia; Muridae. The record is from RNAcentral.